Molecule: ribosomal RNA, 468 nt
Filed under: uncultured bacterium
Lineage: Bacteria
Description: partial 16S ribosomal RNA
Rfam family: Bacterial small subunit ribosomal RNA
Source: RNAcentral
GACGAACGCUGGCGGCGUGCUUAACACAUGCAAGUCGAACGGAAAGGCCCUGCUUUUGUGGGGUGCUCGAGUGGCGAACGGGUGAGUAACACGUGAGUAACCUGCCCUUGACUUUGGGAUAACUUCAGGAAACUGGGGCUAAUACCGGAUAGGAGCUCCUGCUGCAUGGUGGGGGUUGGAAAGUUUCGGCGGUAGGGGAUGGACUCGCGGCUUAUCAGCUGGUUGGGGGGGUAGUGGCUUACCAAGGCUUUGACGGGUAGCCGGCCUGAGAGGGUGACCGGCCACAUGGGGACUGCGAUAGGGACCAGACUCCUACGGGAGGCAGCAGUGGGGAAUAUUGCACAAUGGGCGGAAGCCUGAUGCAGCGACGCCGCGUGCGGGAUGACGGCCUUCGGGUUGUAAACCGCUUUCGCCUGUGACGAAGCGUUAGUGACGGUAAUUGGUAAAGAAGCACCGGCUAACUACGUG